Molecule: transfer RNA, 359 nt
Filed under: uncultured Microcystis sp.
Lineage: Bacteria; Bacillati; Cyanobacteriota; Cyanophyceae; Chroococcales; Microcystaceae
Description: partial 16S-23S ribosomal RNA intergenic spacer
Rfam family: tRNA (bases 134-207)
Source: RNAcentral
AAAGGGAGACCUAAUUCGGGUAGGAGACGAAAAAAAAGUAGUCCCUACCAAGAAUCAAUCCCAAAAGGUCGGAACGAGGUAUGUGGCUUUCAAACUAGGUUCUGGGUUCAUAAAAGACCUGAAUCAGGAACAAGGGCUAUUAGCUCAGGUGGUUAGAGCGCACCCCUGAUAAGGGUGAGGUCCCUGGUUCGAGUCCAGGAUGGCCCACCUGCACAGGUGGCAAAAACAAGAGAAACGAGGAAUCAGCACCUUAUCUUACUUAUAUAGUAGGAGAGAAUGCUGGCUCUGAGUAAAGAGUCCAGAGGAACCUUGAAAACUGCAUAGAGCUAGGUGAAAAAGCCAAAAAAGAAGACCGCAAG